This 498-nucleotide long non-coding RNA is filed under the name Capra hircus (goat). Its description in RNAcentral is "lncRNA (ENSCHIG00000004924.1)". The record is from RNAcentral. Lineage: Eukaryota; Metazoa; Chordata; Mammalia; Artiodactyla; Bovidae.
CUCAUCCUCCCCACAUGAAGUAUGCUCCUUUCUUCUGGCUGGAAGUGUUUACUUGAGGACUGUUGGGAGUGUGUAAAUUUUUUUUUUUUUGAAAUAUACCAUUAGAAGGGCACUGAAUUGGAAUUCACCAAGCUUUCUUUGAGAUUAUAGUGUAUGAAUCCAGGUAACAUACAACACCUACUUGGAGUCCUUCUCUCACCUCAUCCAGAUUCUUGUCACAUCUCUUCAGAUGCUUUUAUUACUCCUGUAAGAGAAACUGUUCAAAAGACCUGACUCAAAGCCCAAGGGUCUUUAGCAUUGUCCGCCUCGUUCUUAGCCCUCUCAGGACCAGGUUAUAUAUGGACAUGGAGUUGUUUUGUGCAAUCAUGUUUCUAGGUCCAAGUACAAGAUUUCCAUCCACAGAAUUUUAUGCAUUUCGAGAUCCAGUUACUUUCUGAAGCAUUUAUUCUGCCCCCAGUGGCCGGAGAUCAACCAGAGGGCACCUUUUCAGCUCUGCCA